Molecule: unclassified non-coding RNA, 287 nt
Organism: Vombatus ursinus (common wombat)
Lineage: Eukaryota; Metazoa; Chordata; Mammalia; Diprotodontia; Vombatidae
Rfam family: Metazoan signal recognition particle RNA
About the family: The signal recognition particle (SRP) is a universally conserved ribonucleoprotein.
Source: Ensembl
GUUGAAUGUGAUGGCACAUGUCUGUAAUACCAACUAAAAGGGAGGUUGAGGCUGGCAAAUCUCUUGAGCUCAGGAGCUGUAAGCUACAGUGACCUAAACUGAUUGGGUGCCUACACUAAGUUCAACAUCAAUAAAGUGAGUCCAUGGGAACAGGGAUCACCAGGUUGCCUAAGGAGGGAUGAAUAGUCCAGGUUGGAAAUGGAGGAGGUCAAAGCUCCUGUGCCAAUUAAUUGUAGGACUGCACCUGUGAUUGGCCCCUGCAUUUCUAGUCUGGUUGAACUGUCUUU